GGUUGGGUGGAAAGUUUUUCUGCAGAACUCCCACGGCUCCGGCCUCCCCUCCCCCUCCUUGCUCGCUGCCGCUGAGCAAGAAGGAGAAGGCUGGUUAGCAGAGAAAUGGCAACUCGGCUGGGAGCUGGAACUAGAAACUUUCUGACAGUGUAACAGCCGCGUGGGUGGUGCUCUUAUCGGCUCCAGCGACGCGGCGGUGACAUUUCAUCUUUGACAGACCCUCUCUAUCCUCGCUCCAAUGUGAUAAAACUUUUAUGGAACCACGACUAAGAAAUGAAGUUUUCCCAAGGAUCGUGGAAACAGAGCGGCACAUUAGCCUGGGGACCAGUUUAUACCCAAUGGUGGUUGGGCUUCGGGUCACGUGACGACUUCUUUGUAGCUCCGGAAGAGAACUGUGAAGUUUAGGAGAAUUGCCAGGAAAAAAAAAAAUAUCAAGAUUUGGGGGAAUUAACCACAUAGAAGGAAGGUGUGUUAACUUGGGCGCUUCUUGGAUUCUACCCUGAGGAGGAGGCGCAUGAUCUUGAUCUGCCGCUCGCUGAGGUUCAGCAGGUUGGCCAUCUCCACGCGGCGCGGCCGGCACAGGUAGCGGUUGAAGUGGAACUCCUUCUCCAGCUCCACCAGCUGCGCGCUCGUGUACGCCGUCCGCGCCCGCUUGG
Molecule: long non-coding RNA, 656 nt
Organism: Dama dama (fallow deer)
Lineage: Eukaryota; Metazoa; Chordata; Mammalia; Artiodactyla; Cervidae
Exons: 6
Source: RefSeq, a predicted model, not a curated record